AUUGAACGCUGGCGGCAUGCUUUACACGUGCAAGUCGAACGGUAACAGGCCGCAAGGUGCUGGCGAGUGGCGCACGGGUGAGUAAUGCAUCGGAACGUGCCCAGUCGUGGGGGAUAACUACUCGAAAGAGUAGCUAAUACCGCAUACGAUCUAUGGAUGAAAGCGGGGGACCGUAAGGCCUCGCGCGAUUGGAGCGGCCGAUGUCAGAUUAGGUAGUUGGUGGGGUAAAGGCUCACCAAGCCAACGAUCUGUAGCUGGUCUGAGAGGACGACCAGCCACACUGGGACUGAGACACGGCCCAGACUCCUACGGGAGGCAGCAGUGGGGAAUUUUGGACAAUGGGCGCAAGCCUGAUCCAGCAAUGCCGCGUGCAGGAAGAAGGCCUUCGGGUUGUAAACUGCUUUUGUACGGAACGAAACGGCUCUGGUUAAUACCCGGGGCUAAUGACGGUACCGUAAGAAUAAGCACCGGCUAACUACGUG
This 482-nucleotide ribosomal RNA is filed under the name uncultured bacterium. RNAcentral describes it as "partial 16S ribosomal RNA". It matches the Rfam family "Bacterial small subunit ribosomal RNA", at positions 30 to 507 of the family's 1533-position model. The record is from RNAcentral.